This 1259-nucleotide long non-coding RNA is filed under the name Anas platyrhynchos platyrhynchos (common mallard). RNAcentral's name for it is "lncRNA (ENSAPLG00000027645.1)". The record is from RNAcentral. Lineage: Eukaryota; Metazoa; Chordata; Aves; Anseriformes; Anatidae.
GAGAGGAAGGGAAAAGAAUGGAUGGGAAAGGGAGAGAAGGAAAAGUGGAGAAGGGAGGAGAUGGGGAAAGAAAGUAGGGAAAGGAAAAAAGAACGAAAAAUAAAGGAAAAGAAAGAAAAAUAAAGGAAAAGAAAGAAAAGAAAGGAAAAAAAUAAAAGAAAGAAAGGAAAAUUAAAAAAAAAGAGAAAGAAAAAGAAAGAAAAGAAAAAGAAAGAAAAGAAAGAAAAAGAAAAUAAAGAAAAGAAAGAAAGACAAAGGAUGGGAAAGGGAGAGAAAGAAAAGAAAAGUAAGGAAAGAGAGGUAAAAAAAGAAAGAAAAAAAGAAAGAAAAAAAAGAAUGGAAAAUUAUGGAAGAGGAAAGAAAAAAGAAAAAAGGGAGGAAAAAGGAAGGAAAAAAGGAAGAAAAAGGAAGGAAAAGGAAAUGAAAAAAAGAAAACAAGAGUAAAAAAAAAGAAAGGAAAAAACAGAAAGGAAAAGAAUAGAAAGAAAUGAAAAGAAAGGAAAGAGACAAGAAAGGAAAGGGACAAGAAAGGAAAGAGAAAAGGAAAGAGAAGAGAAGAGAAGAGAAGAGAAGAGAAGAGAAGAGAAGAGAAGAGAAGAGAAGAGAAGAGAAGAGAAGAGAAGAGAAGAGAAGAGAAGAGAAGAGAAGAGAAGAGAAGAGAAGAAAAAAGAAAAGAAAGGAAAAGAAAAGAAAGGAAAGGAAAGGAAAGGAAAAGAAAAGAAAAGAAAAGAAAAGAAAAGAAAAGAAAAGAAAAGAAAAGAAAAGAAAAGAAAAAAGAAAAGAAAAGAAAAGAAAAGAAAAGAAAAGAAAAGAAAAGAAAAGAAAAGAAAAGAAAAGAAAAGAAAAGAAAAGAAAAGAAAAGAAAAGAAAAGAAAAGAAAAGAAAAGAAAAGAAAAGAAAAGAAAAGAAAAGAAAAGAAAAGAAAAGAAACAUUUCACAGAUAUAUUUCAGAGAGUCAUUCUCUACUGGAGAACUUAGAUCUUGGUCUUUUUUGCACAAAUAGCAAAAUAAUUUCUUUUUAUUGUGGUUGUCUGAAAAGUCAGCCUGCCAUUGCGGCAACGCCCCCAAGAGUUUAAUCAGGUCCUGCCAUUUCAGGAAUGCUUAUGCAUAUAACCAGAUGUUAUGGACCAGAUUUUAUUUUUCCUUACAGCAGCUGAAUGUCGGCAGUCUCUGGUGGUCUGUUGUCAUUAGUUACUACUUGUACGGCGGUCGUACCCAGAGGCCCCAAAUAAAUCACAGCCCCUUUGUGCGAGGCUUCA